GGAUGUGAGGGUGAUCUGGAUGCUACAUCUGUCACCCCAUUGAUAGCCAGGGUUGAUUCAGCUGAUCUGGCUGGCCAGGAAGGUGUUCCUUUUCUCCUGCACUGCUCCAUGUGCGUCCCUCCCAAAACUGAGAGCUCAGUCAAAGAACACGACCACCUGUGAUAGAGGGGGACUGUUUCCUUGGUCAAGCGUAUACGAGAAGCUGUGCUCCCCUGCUGGAACCUCCAAACAAGUUCUCUAGGUCCAAAUGCCACUGCUUAUGAAAAUACAUGGAAUUGGAGGGCAAGCG
RNAcentral lists this small nuclear RNA (289 nucleotides) under Heterocephalus glaber (naked mole-rat). Its description in RNAcentral is "7SK RNA". It matches the Rfam family "7SK RNA", at positions 1 to 261 of the family's 331-position model. From Rfam's summary of the family: 7SK was discovered as an abundant small nuclear RNA in the mid-70s but a possible function has only recently been suggested. Lineage: Eukaryota; Metazoa; Chordata; Mammalia; Rodentia; Bathyergidae. The record is from Rfam by way of RNAcentral.